CAAGGGACUCGAUCUGCCACAU
This 22-nucleotide non-coding RNA is filed under the name Arabidopsis thaliana (thale cress). The record is from RNAcentral. Lineage: Eukaryota; Viridiplantae; Streptophyta; Magnoliopsida; Brassicales; Brassicaceae.